CGAGCCUUCACAUACCAGUUUUGCUGAAAGAAUGGUCUUGCCUCUAACAGCUUUUAUUGUUGUUCGUGCCGCUGCUAAAAUAAACGAGUAGCCCGAUACUUUGCUUUCAUCGGAAUUAUUAUGGAUGUUCUUUCCUCUGUGCCAUUCUGCUCAGAUCCUGGAGGCGCCCCAGCAAACUGGGAUACCUGGUCUCCUGCCAAUGUUCCACCGAGCAUCUGUCCUGUGAGCCUCUGCAGUUUUCCCUCCCCAAGAGGAAAUGCUCUCCUGACCCCAGCUGGUGAUCCACUUGGACCUUGACACAUGACAACUGGUAGCCGUGGUUGUUUUCACCUACUGGGUAGCCUUACAAAUUCUUUUGCUCUUGCUAGCCUCCUCCUCUCCCCCUGCCUUCAAUUUUCUCCUCAUAUACCUUGCUCUUCUCCGCUGAAUCUGCAGCUUUUCUGCUGAGUGAUGUGCAUCCUUUGUGCCCGUGUAUUGCAGCUUGUAGCCCAGCGCAGAGAUAAAAUGUUUUCUGCCCUUUGCAAAAGAAAAAUAAAAAAAAUGAAAGUGUGAUUAUCAAUUCAUGCUUAGCCCUGAGGCAGUUGUUCACAAGAUGUUUGGAGCCAGCUCCCUGUGAUUCUGUGCUCACAUUCUGUUUAACUCUGCUUCCCCUUAUUUACGACCUUUAUGGUAUUUAUCUGCCAGGCCCUGAAGGCACUGACAGACCUUAAUUACCCCGGCC
Molecule: long non-coding RNA, 721 nt
Filed under: Anas zonorhyncha (Eastern spot-billed duck)
Lineage: Eukaryota; Metazoa; Chordata; Aves; Anseriformes; Anatidae
Description: lncRNA (ENSAZOG00000011534.1)
Source: RNAcentral